RNAcentral lists this ribosomal RNA (774 nucleotides) under uncultured Neocallimastigales. RNAcentral describes it as "partial large subunit ribosomal RNA". It matches the Rfam family "Eukaryotic large subunit ribosomal RNA", at positions 24 to 620 of the family's 3401-position model. Lineage: Eukaryota; Fungi; Neocallimastigomycota; Neocallimastigomycetes; Neocallimastigales. The record is from RNAcentral.
UAUGUGAUCGUCUCUCGCAUAUCAAUAAGCGGAGGAAAAGAAACUGACAAGGAUUCCCUUAGUAACGGCGAGUGAAGCGGGAAGAGCUCAAAUUUGAAAUCUUCAAGGUUUUACCUUGACGAAUUGUAGUUUAAAGAAGUGUUUUCUGUUGAAGUUUUGGUAAAAGUUCUUUGGAAUAGGACAUCAUAGAGGGUGAGAAUCCCGUAUUUGACCAUUAUUUUCAGCUGUGUGAUACACUUUCAAAGAGUCGGAUUGUUUGGGAAUGCAGUCCAAAAUGGGUGGUAAAUUUCAUCUAAAGCUAAAUAUUGGCGAGAGACCGAUAGCGAACAAGUACCGUGAGGGAAAGAUGAAAAGAACUUUGAAAAGAGAGUUAAACAGUACGUGAAAUUGUCAAAAGGGAAGCGUUUGACACCAGUGUUGUUUUCUCGAAAAUCAAUUAAAAAGAGUUAGAUUUUGUUGUGUAUUGACCUUAACAGCUUGCAUUUCAAUUUUCUUGCUUUUUUUAAUGCACUUUUCGUUUAACAAGUCAACAUCAGUUUCUUUUGUUGUAAAAAGGUCAUUGGAAGGUGGCUUUCUUUUCGGAGAAAGUGUUUAUAGCCUUUGACUCCUGCAAUCGGAGAGACUGAGGUCUGCAGCGUAGAUCCUUCGGGGUUGGAUACAUUUGUGCUAAGUUAUAGCUUUUUAUAGACAACUUGUUGACUAUGAUUAGUCUUGUAGCUUACUCGCUUAUGCUAUUUUACCUACGCUUAGGAUGUUGAAGAUGUAGCACAUCAU